RNAcentral lists this ribosomal RNA (497 nucleotides) under uncultured Glomeromycotina. RNAcentral describes it as "partial small subunit ribosomal RNA". It matches the Rfam family "Eukaryotic small subunit ribosomal RNA", at positions 591 to 1092 of the family's 1831-position model. The record is from RNAcentral. Lineage: Eukaryota; Fungi; Glomeromycota.
CCAAUAGCGUAUAUUAAAGUUGUUGCAGUUAAAAAGCUCGUAGUUGAAUUUUAGGCCUGGCCGGGCGGUCCGUCUUUGGCGAGUACUGUCCUGUGUCGGGUCUUCCUUCUGGUGAACCAGUAUGUCCUUUAUUGGGUGUGCCGGGGAGCCAGGACCAUUACCUUGAAAAAAUUAGAGUGUUUAAAGCGGGCUAUUGCUUGAAUAGAUUAGCAUGGAAUAAUAGAAUAGGACGUUGUGGUUCUAUUUUGUUGGUUUCUAGGACCACCGUAAUGAUUAAUAGGGAUAGUUGGGGGCAUUAGUAUUCAAUUGUCAGAGGUGAAAUUCUUGGAUUUAUUAAAGACUAACUACUGCGAAAGCAUUUGCCAAGGAUGUUUUCAUUAAUCAAGAACGAAAGUUAGGGGAUCAAAGACGAUCAGAUACCGUCGUAGUCUUAACCAUAAACUAUGCCGACUAGGAAUCGGGCGACGUUAUUUUAAUGACUCGCUCGGCGCCUUAUG